Molecule: long non-coding RNA, 5357 nt
Filed under: Marmota monax (woodchuck)
Lineage: Eukaryota; Metazoa; Chordata; Mammalia; Rodentia; Sciuridae
Source: RNAcentral
UCUCAAACUGCUGGGAUUAUAGGUAUGUACCACUGAACCAAGGCAGGUUGUAUUUAUACUAAAAAUCAUUAUUCAUUGUUUAUCUUAUAUCAAAUUCCUAUAUACCUUCCCACUAGUGCCCCCAGUGUUAACAUUCUAUGUUAAUAUAGUACAGUUAUAGUAAUUAAUAAGCCAAUAUUGAUACACUAUUCUUAGCAAAAGCCUAUAUUUGUUCACUAUGUACAUACUACAUACACAGUGGUGUGGACAUUCACUACGUCUACACUGCAGGGCUACUGGGGAUCUGCACUCAUGCCUUGAAGGUGUGGUAACUAUAUAAACUACGUGGAAUUCUUCAUUAGGGAGAUUUGUCUCUUUGCCCCACUUAUUUAUUUACCAGAUGAUUUAUCUGGAUAUUUACUUUAUACUAUAGGGGUAAAGAGUUCCUCACUUCCCUCUCUCAAGUUUGCACCUCUGUCUGCUGAAAUAAAGCCAUGAGAUAGAGGAGAGGAAAGUACCAGGCCUGGUCCCAGGGGCCUGGCUGGAGGCGGGGCACCAAGACACCAGUGAGAUUCCGAAGCUUCUCUGCCCCUUCUCCAAGGGGAGAGGGACGGGGACUGUAGGCAGUUUUAGAGGAAGAGGGUUGCGAAUGGCCUGAAAGACAGACAGUGCCUGCAGCACACUUCCUGGCCCAUGUAUGCUAGGAUUUUCCGUCUUCUUCUGUGAUGGGGUGUCUCCUCUUCUUCAGUUAAUGACAGUCUGUAGGAAGACGGAAGGCCAUAGUGUUCUCCUUUGGUGGACCUGGCCUUUGAACAGACAGGGCAGCCUCAGGGAAGGGUCUGCUGUCUCCUGGUGACAGUAACAUAGCUAGCAUACCAAGGCGCUACAGUGUAGGGUAUCCUGUUUUGAGCCCCCAAGUACUUUGGGUCAUAAUCCAAAUAAUCCAUAAUCUACUUUAUUUUCUUGCUGAAAUUAUUCUAGCUUUGGGCAUGAGUGCUCUUCUUGUUGGCUGCACACACAUGCCCACACGCACACUCCUUAUAUCCCGGCACUCUGAGAUGUUCAGCCAUCCUGCCUGUCUCCUGCCCCAGCCCUGGAGUCAGCCAUCUCUCUAAGAGGAGGUGCUCCUGUGUUCUACUGAGGGUGGUGUCAGAGGCCAUCAUCUGUGUGCUAUGUGUGCUUGUUGCUGUGAGGUGUUACUAUCCCUGGCCCUCCCAGGUGACCGAGCAAGGACGUCUGUGUAUGUGCACUUGUGUAUACACGCGGCUGUUGCACAUCUCUGCAUGGUUUUCAUUGGUUGCUGCUCCAUGAUCCACCACAUCCAGUGUCUCGUGGCCAACUGUGUCAGCACUUCUGUCCUCCGGCGUGGAACACUUGCUGUUCGGCUUUGGAUAUGAGGUGUUCCCAACCAGUAAGUCAAUCUCCUGGUGGAAUUAACUGAUGCCUCAAGGCGAGUGGAGUCUCUGCACCCUCUGAUCGUCACACAAGCUGCCUUCCUCUGCACACCUUCUGCCAUGAUGUUUUGCCUCACCUGGAGCCUUGAGGAGUGCAGCCAGCCAUCCAUGGACUGAGACCUCUGAAACUGCGAGCCCCAAAUAAGUUGAUCCUCCUCUACAAUUGUUCUGGUCAUUAGUCACAGCAGGGAAAAAGCUGACUGAAACACUUACUGUCACUGGGCUUUUUCCUCGCCCUCCUUCUUAAACGUUAAGUGUGCUAAUUAUUUCCAGCGCCCACACUCAGCCCACCGGAGAUGUCCUCUUCACCUGCUGCUUUACCCCGACUGCAAGCUCAUGGGAAGCACACCGUCCAUCCUCUUGGAGCCACUUUCUCUGGGCACCUCAGGGGGAAUACUGGCUUCUUGGUCUACUUCCUGUUGCUCUAACAAAACACCUAAGGCCAGGUUAUUUAUAAAGCAAUCAAGGUUAUUCAGCUCACAGUUCUGGAGACAGAACAGCGCACAGCAUGGCACAGGCACCUGUUCUGCCCCUGCAGGGGGCCUCAUGCUGAAUGGUAACAUGGCGGAGGACAGCACAUGGUGGGUCGGAGCAGGCACGCCAGCUCAGAUCUCUUCUUACAAGGCCACUGACCCCAGCAUGCGAGCCCCACCCUCUCAGCCUCAUGGGACCCUGGUGACCUCCAGAACACCCCACUCCCAGGCCAUUAACUUAUGAAUUGAGGGACCAGGUUUCCAGUCCAUAAACCUUUAUGGGACACACUCCAUGGCACUAGGCAAGGUAUUUGCUUGGAUUCUUGGUUUUACUAAUAGGACAGAACUGCAGAGAGUUGGAAUCAAGGCCAUUUAUCUGUGGUUUCUUUUCUGGAGAAAGCACGAUACUUGCUUUUUUGUUUAAUGUUCAGGUUGAAAUUAGAAACUUGCAUCAGUAUCUGCAGUUUUCUGUGUUUUCACUGACGAUGACUUCAUAUCAGAACUAUCAGGAAUGCUCCUGCACACACAAGAGAAGUGAGCAAGGGCAGGCUUGGGGCAGAUUUUGCCUACGCCAUGUUUCAGCUGGAGGCAGGUGUAGUACCCACCGGAGGCCGUGGGCUUGCUGGAGUGACGUGCUUUUGCUUGGCUCCUCAUUGCUUCCAGAGGCUGAAGGUCUGGCUCUGUCUCCUGCACCACUCCGUCUCCUUGAGUUCCUCUGAGACGCUGUCUUUCCCAGUAACACUCAGAAAAGAUCCAACACCAGAUUUUAUUCUGUUUGUUCAGAUAUGAUCUUUUUUUUUUUGGUACCACUGAGCCACAUGCCCAGCCCUAUUUUGUAUUUUAUUUAGAGACAAGAGUCUCACUGAGACCCUGCUUAGUGCCUCGCCAUCUCUGAGGCUGGCUUUGAACUCUCCAUCCUCCUGCCUCAGCCUUAGCUGCUGGGGUUACAGGGGUGUGCCACCGUGCCUGGCCAGAUACGAUCCUUCUUAGUCCACAAAGUGAGGUGGCCGUCUGUGACAGCUAGCUCCUGGUGUUGCCAGAUUGGAAGAACAGUUUAAAGUCUGCCUGCUCUACGGGCAACACCAGCAAUCCCUUUUGUUCAUUUCUUUCAAUGGGGUUGGAUGGGAUUCUGCCAUCUUGAUUGCCAUUGUUGGAUUUCUUGGUGGAAGAUGAGCUUGCUUUGGACACUAGGUAGCUUAUCCACACCAUAAAAGCAUGGUGCCCCCGAGAACCGGCUCCCAGCAUGGCGCAUCACCUCUGGAUUCUCCCUCCCCCAAAGGUGUCCGAGUGUCCAACCACGGCCCCCACAAGGGCCUGGCUUCAGUACACACGGCCCUUGUGGUUGUCACCCCCCAAACAUCAGGAGCACCCGGUGCACCUGGGAUGAGGUACAGGGCGACACAGCUGAUUCUGGACUUGGCACAGGAGAAAUUUGGCCCCAGGUUUGUGCCACUUUUUCUUCCCUUUGGCUUGACAUCAGAUAACUGUGUCUUAUCUGAGAAGUUUUCAACUCUCCCUCCAGAGCUUUCCCGUCCUUUGGGGGUUUUCAGAUAUAGUAGAGCCAGAGAGGAGCCCUGCCUACCCCUGAGGGCUAGUUUCUGUGUUUUCCGCCCAUUCCACACAUUUCAGAGGUGGUGGCUUUUUUUGGAGCAGGGCUCUAAGACACCUCAAGAAAUGCCCUCUUCUGUGGGUGCUAAUGGCUCCCAGAGUCAGGGCAGCUGUCAGGGCUCCUGCUGGUGCAGAGAGGAUGCCUUGCACCAUGCCCUGGAGACGCCGCUGCUCGGGCACCUUGGCCUCGUUUCUGCCCCUGAAAUACAGGGACUCUGCCACCAACCCAGGGCCUUUGCCACUUACCUGUGUCUACUAGGAAUCUCUUCCCCAACUCUCCACAGGGCAGCUGUCCACCACCCUCAGGCCGUAGCCCCUGCCCGACACACACGGACGCGCACACGCACACCCGUCAGGCAAAGCCCAUUACUCCGCUGGCUCUUUUGUGGUCACAGUGGUUGUUCUUAUCCAAAUGAACUUACCCUACACGUUUCCUGGCCAGGUACUCAGUGUCCUGCUAAAGCUGGACUCAGCAAAGGGAGUCUCGUCCCUUCCACACGCACUGUGGUGCUCAUGCCCUUGGCUGACCAGCACUGGAGGACCAGCCACCAGCCGCCUUCCAGGAGGCAGAGAAUUGGGGGGCAUGGUGCUCCUGCCUUUAAGACCUUCCCAGCAGAGGCAGAAGCAAGCACCUGGGGUCCCCAGAGAUCAAGCCGUGCAUGGGCACUGGGUGGGCAGCCAGAGUGCCACCGGUGGGUCAGCAGGCAACCUCGGGAGGAAGGGACAGGGCAGAGUCAGAGCAGGGCCAGAAGUAUAGGCUAGCAGCAGUCGGGAGCAGACCAGGACGCCAGCAUCCAGAUGGGUGGGUGGCCUGCCCAAGUGCCAGGUGACUCUUGGCCCCAGCAGGAGCCGGCCAAUGCCCCUGGUGGUGGUGGAGGUGUGAAUAAGAAUGGUCACCGUUUUCCAGUUGCUGUGGUGGCGUGUCCCGUACCUGGUCUCAUCUAACCCAUUGCGACAGCCUGAAGGCAUGGAGAGCCUCUCCUCACCCCUUUGGCAAAGUGGGGGGGUUUCGACAGCUGGUUGACUUUUCCGAGGUCACGAAGCUGUACGUGGUCAUGGGGGCCGAGCUUGGGGUCCCCUCUGGAAACUUAGAGCCCACAGGUCCCCAGGGGGUCUCCCACAUGGCCCUGCCUCUGUGCCCAGCCUGGACCUCCUGACUGUGCCAAGUCUGGACUCGUUUCCCAUGAGGACAGCACCCGUAGGAAGAUGGGGACAGGAGGGCAUAAGGGGGGACAAAGCUGAGCCCCUGCCACCUCACACCAGUGUCCGAGACUCGAAACCCCAGAUGAGUGCCACAAAAAUACUGAGUCCCAACUGAAAAGGGUUAUUUUGUUUGUUUUUGCUUCGGUAGGUUUUAUCUUGUUCUUAAAACCACUCAUCUGUGGUGAUCCUGUGACACUGGAACCAUUUUCUUGCUCUCCAAUCUCAAAUGAGCACUCAAAAUAGUCCACACACUGACUUUCAUCACUCAGCUCUUGGCAUCCAGACAAGACCUUCCCUAGAUAAGGCACGGGAGCCAUCGUGCUUGGACGGUCUUCCCUGCAAACUCCAGACCGGACGGAGAGGCACCGGAGGUCGCAGAGGAGCUGGCCAGGCACGGAGCGGGGAGGAAGGGCAGGGCCUCCUCCCACUCCGCACACCUCUGGAUCUUCCUGGAGAGGUCUGGGGUGUGAGCGUCCCAAGUCCUGGUCUGAAAAGAGUGUCUCAAAAAGACAGUCGAGGAGGGGCCCAGUGACAAGAGCCACCAGAGAAAGGUAAAUACAACAGGAAGCAUUUCAACAGCGUGAGGGUGCGCUGCCCCUUCCAGAUCGUUAGGGCACACAUGGAUCCCCUUGGCCCAGCG